UGGGGAAUCUUGCGCAAUGGGCGAAAGCCUGACGCAGCGACGCCGCGUGGGGGAAGAAGGCCUUAGGGUUGUAAACCUCUUUCAGCAGGGACGAAGCCACUCGGGUUAAUAGCCCAGAGGGUGACGGUACCUGCAGAAGAAGCCCCGGCUAACUACGUGCCAGCAGCCGCGGUAAUACGUAGGGGGCAAGCGUUGUCCGGAUUUAUUGGGCGUAAAGAGCGUGUAGGCGGCCGCACAGGUCCGUUGUGAAAACUGGAGGCUUAACCUUCAGACGUCGAUGGAAACCGUGCGGCUAGAGUCCGGAAGAGGAGAGUGGAAUUCCUGGUGUAGCGGUGAAAUGCGCAGAUAUCAGGAAGAACACCCGUGGCGAAGGCGGCUCUCUGGGACGGUACUGACGCUGAGACGCGAAAGCGUGGGGAGCGAACA
Molecule: ribosomal RNA, 426 nt
Filed under: uncultured Gaiella sp.
Lineage: Bacteria; Bacillati; Actinomycetota; Thermoleophilia; Gaiellales; Gaiellaceae
Description: bacterial SSU rRNA
Rfam family: Bacterial small subunit ribosomal RNA
Source: RNAcentral